CGGGCUAUAUUUUAUACAGGAGGCGUCAGACAGAACAGUUUGUUAACAAGGGAACCAUCAAGCUUGAUAAUAAAUUUGUUGUUCCCCACAAUCUACAGAUCCUGAAAAAAUACAAAGCCCAUGUCAAUGUUGAAUGGUGCAACAAAUCAAGUGCCAUCAAAUACCUGUUCAAGUACAUUACAAAGGGCGUUGAUAGAGCAUGCUUCAAGCUCCAGAAAACCGGGGAUCAGUCUUCUCAGUCGGAGUCCACAAAAAAAGAAACGCCAAAGAAUGAGAUAAACGAUUACGUCGAAGGUAGAUAC
This 302-nucleotide long non-coding RNA is filed under the name Brassica napus (rape). Its description in RNAcentral is "long non-coding RNA (BNAP_LNC013662)". The record is from RNAcentral. Lineage: Eukaryota; Viridiplantae; Streptophyta; Magnoliopsida; Brassicales; Brassicaceae.